GGCUGGAGCUUUUGGCUUUUUGGGAGGCGGUUCCGACAAUGGGGUGGGUGGGUCUUUGCGUUUGGACAGAGGAGGAGCAGAGGACAUGGGUCGCACAGAUUUGGACCGGAUUUUGCAUUUGUAUGUGGUUGGGGGAGGUGGUGGGGGUGUAAUUGUGGAGGAGAAUUGGAAGUGGGGGGUAUCAAUGACAAUGGAGAGACUUCGAGAGGAGAGGCUGGACGGGAGUGGGGAGGUGACUCCAUUGCGGAUGAAGAAGAUGGAAAAGAUAAUGGGGAAAGAAGAAAAUC
This 287-nucleotide unclassified non-coding RNA is filed under the name Hevea brasiliensis (rubber tree). Lineage: Eukaryota; Viridiplantae; Streptophyta; Magnoliopsida; Malpighiales; Euphorbiaceae. The record is from RNAcentral.